UGAUGAUCGGACACGCUGAUUUCAUUGUCUGAGGCGGCAGUGAAGAUCCAGGAAAAAUCUCUGAAUCUUUCUACUCCAGCAUUGGCCUUGUCUGGGAUCCUCAGAUCCUAUCUAGGAUCCUGUGAACACUUCUGUGAUUGCAUCACUCCCGAGAUGAAUCUACGUUCAGUAUUUACUGUAGAACAACAAAGGAUUUUACAGCGUUAUUAUGAAAAUGGAAUGACAAAUCAAAGUAAAAAUUGCUUUCAGCUCAUAUUACAGUGUGCACAGGAGACUAAGCUGGACUUCAGUGUAGUCAGGACGUGGGUUGGCAACAAGCGAAGAAAAAUGAGUAGUAAGAAUUCUGAGUCAGGAACAACUGGAACUCUUUCUGGUACUUCCUUGACAGCUCCAGAUCUUACAGUCAGAAAUGUGGGCAACAGUGUUCAACCUUCAAGCCAACAGUCUUCUUGGACUUCAGCCAAUAAUGAUGUCAUUCUAACAGGUAUAUAUAGCCCAGCCUGUUCACUGAGUAGGCAAGGGACAACUAAACAUACCAAUACACAAAUUACAGAAGCUCAUAAAACUCCUAUUCAGAAAACAUCCAGUAAAAAUGAUACUGAGUUUCAGUUGCACAUUCCUGUUCAAAGACAAGUAGCACACUGUAAAAAUGCCUCCCUGCUCCUAGGUGAAAAAACAAUUAUUUUGUCAAGACAGACAAGUGUGCUAAAUGCUGGAAACUCAGUAUAUAAUCACACAAAGAAAAACUAUGGAAGUUCUUCAGUGCAAGCUUCUGAAAUGACAGUAUCUGAAAAACCAUCUGUGUGUCACCGAUCUUGCAAAAUUGAACCAGUUGGAAUUCAAAGAUCAUAUAAACCUGAAUAUAUAGGUAUGGCAUCGCAUAAUUUAUGUGGCCAAAAGCCAGCUCUUAGAGACCCAUACUGUAGAACACAAAAUUUGGAAAUCCGUGAAGUGUUCUCAUUGGCAGUAAGUGAUUAUCCUCAGAAAAUUCUUGGAGGAAGUGCCACGCAGAAGGCUCCAAGCUCAGCAGAAGGAAUUUGUUUGUCAAUUGCAAUGGAAACUGGAGAUGCUGAGGAUGAAUAUGCGAGAGAGGAGGAGUUGGCUUUAAUGGGAGCACAAAUACGAAGCUACUCAAGAUAUUAUGAAAGUGCAAGUUCCCUUCAAAAUGAGAACCAAAGUACAACUUUGCCUGGACCAGGAAGAAAUAUACCAAAUUCACAAAUGGUGAAUAUUAGAGAUUUUUCAGACAGUGUACUAUAUCACAACAGAGACUGCCAUUUGACAUCACGAAACUCAUUACAUACAGCAUCUAGUACAUUGUACAGUAGUACAAAUCCAUUACGGAGUAAUUUUUCUCCAAAUUUUUCAUCAUCAAACCAAUUGAGAUUACCACAAAGCCAAAACAAUUACCAGGUAACAUGCAUAUUUAUUUUAUAAAUUUUUUAAAAGCUGUGUUUCAGUUUAAAAAGCUGUGUAUCUGUU
RNAcentral lists this long non-coding RNA (1482 nucleotides) under Cavia porcellus (domestic guinea pig). Its description in RNAcentral is "lncRNA (ENSCPOG00000030106.1)". The record is from RNAcentral. Lineage: Eukaryota; Metazoa; Chordata; Mammalia; Rodentia; Caviidae.